Molecule: ribosomal RNA, 497 nt
Filed under: uncultured bacterium
Lineage: Bacteria
Description: partial 16S ribosomal RNA
Rfam family: Bacterial small subunit ribosomal RNA
Source: RNAcentral
GAUGAACGCUGGCGGCGUGCCUAAUACAUGCAAGUCGAGCGAACAGACGAGGAGCUUGCUCCUUUGACGUUAGCGGCGGACGGGUGAGUAACACGUGGAUAACCUACCUAUAAGACUGGGAUAACUUCGGGAAACCGGAGCUAAUACCGGAUAACAUGUUGAACCGCAUGGUUCAACAGUGAAAGACGGUCUUGCUGUCACUUCUAGAUGGAUCCGCGCCGCAUUAGCUAGUUGGUAAGGUAACGGCUUACCAAGGCAACGAUGCGUAGCCGACCUGAGAGGGUGAUCGGCCACACGGGAACUGAGACACGGUCCAGACUCCUACGGGAGGCAGCAGUAGGGAAUCUUCCGCAAUGGGCGAAAGCCUGACGGAGCAACGCCGCGUGAGUGAAGAAGGUCUUCGGAUCGUAAAACUCUGUUAUUAGGGAAGAACAAAUGUGUAAGUAACUAUGCACGUCUUGACGGUACCUAAUCAGAAAGCCACGGCUAACUACGUG